This 243-nucleotide ribosomal RNA is filed under the name Triticum aestivum (bread wheat). RNAcentral describes it as "partial small subunit ribosomal RNA". The record is from RNAcentral. Lineage: Eukaryota; Viridiplantae; Streptophyta; Magnoliopsida; Poales; Poaceae.
AUGCUUAGUUGGGAGACAUUGACCAAACCGAAGAAGGAAGGGGGAAUGGGCUUCCGUGAUCUAUAUGGGUUCAACCUAGCCAUGUUGGCGAGACAAGCGUGGAAGCUCGUGACCACACCCGAUUCCCUAUGUGCCAAGGUGCUGAAGGCCCGUUACUUCCCUGCUACAUCGAUCCUACAUGCUGAACCUGCUCAUGGAAUAUCAUAUACUUGGCGCAGCAUCCUCAAGGGGUGGAUUUAUUGA